RNAcentral lists this long non-coding RNA (390 nucleotides) under Mytilus galloprovincialis (Mediterranean mussel). The record is from RNAcentral. Lineage: Eukaryota; Metazoa; Mollusca; Bivalvia; Mytilida; Mytilidae.
GUGGAGAUUUAUUUACGCGAGGAUAUCACAAGCCCAGUAGUCAGCACGUUUUGUGCUGACAUAAAUUGUCAUUGAUAUGGUUAUAUUUAUAAAUUUACUGUUUACAAAUUUUUGACUUUUUGGAAAUACUAAGGCUUUUCUACCUCAGGCAUAGAUCACCUUAGCUGUAUUUGGCAAAACUUUUAGGAAUUUUGAUUUUCAAUGCUCUUCUACUUCGUACUUUAUUUGGCCUUUUUAACUUUUUUGGAUUCGAAAGUCACUGAUGAGUCUUUUGUAGACGAAACGCGCAUCUGGCGUAUAUACUAAAUUUAGUCCUGGUAUCUGUGAUGAGUUUAUUUACACAAUUUAUAGAGAUUUUUCCAGGCAAGGAAACAGGGCAUUCCUUCUUUU